CAAGACCUUGCACUUUUGGAGCGGCCGAUGUCUGAUUAGCUAGUUGGUGGGGUAAAAGCCUACCAAGGCAUCGAUCAGUAGCUGGUCUGAGAGGACGACCAGCCACACUGGGACUGAGACACGGCCCAGACUCCUACGGGAGGCAGCAGUGGGGAAUUUUGGACAAUGGGCGCAAGCCUGAUCCAGCCAUGCCGCGUGAGUGAAGAAGGCCUUCGGGUUGUAAAGCUCUUUCAGUCGGGAAGAAAAGGUUGCGACUAAUAAUCGCGAUCAAUGACGGUACCGAAAGAAGAAGCACCGGCUAACUACGUGCCAGCAGCCGCGGUAAUACGUAGGGUGCGAGCGUUAAUCGGAAUUACUGGGCGUAAAGGGUGCGCAGGCGGUUUUGUAAGUCAGAUGUGAAAUCCCCGGGCUUAACCUGGGAACU
This 424-nucleotide ribosomal RNA is filed under the name uncultured Nitrosomonas sp. Its description in RNAcentral is "bacterial SSU rRNA". It matches the Rfam family "Bacterial small subunit ribosomal RNA", at positions 207 to 622 of the family's 1533-position model. Lineage: Bacteria; Pseudomonadati; Pseudomonadota; Betaproteobacteria; Nitrosomonadales; Nitrosomonadaceae. The record is from RNAcentral.